This 253-nucleotide ribosomal RNA is filed under the name uncultured bacterium. RNAcentral's name for it is "partial 16S ribosomal RNA". It matches the Rfam family "Bacterial small subunit ribosomal RNA", at positions 524 to 776 of the family's 1533-position model. The record is from RNAcentral.
UACGUAGGUGGCAAGCGUUGUCCGGAUUUACUGGGCGUAAAGAGCGCGCAGGCGGUUGUGCAAGUCGCGUGUGAAAGCCCCCGGCUCAACUGGGGAGGGUCACGCGAUACUGUUCGACUUGAAGGCAGGAGAGGGAAGUGGAAUUCCCGGUGUAGUGGUGAAAUGCGUAGAGAUGUGGAGGAACACCGAUGGCGAAGGCAGCCCCCUGGGUCAACACUGACGCUCAUGCACGAAAGCGUGGGGAGCAAACAGG